GGUGAUGUAGCUCAGUCGGUUAGAGCGAUGGAUUCAUAACCCAUAGGUCGGUGGUUCAAUUCCACCCAUCACCACCA
RNAcentral lists this transfer RNA (77 nucleotides) under Candidatus Accumulibacter phosphatis. RNAcentral describes it as "tRNA-Met". It matches the Rfam family "tRNA". Rfam says of the family: Transfer RNA (tRNA) molecules are approximately 80 nucleotides in length. Lineage: Bacteria; Pseudomonadati; Pseudomonadota; Betaproteobacteria. The record is from RNAcentral. RNAcentral also lists the same sequence under 13 other names.